This 629-nucleotide ribosomal RNA is filed under the name uncultured bacterium. Its description in RNAcentral is "bacterial SSU rRNA". It matches the Rfam family "Bacterial small subunit ribosomal RNA", at positions 112 to 736 of the family's 1533-position model. The record is from RNAcentral.
AAUGCUUAGGAAUCUGCCUAUUAGUGGGGGACAACAUUCCGAAAGGGAUGCUAAUACCGCAUACGUCCUACGGGAGAAAGCAGGGGAUCUUCGGACCUUGCGCUAAUAGAUGAGCCUAAGUCGGAUUAGCUAGUUGGUGGGGUAAAGGCCUACCAAGGCGACGAUCUGUAGCGGGUCUGAGAGGAUGAUCCGCCACACUGGGACUGAGACACGGCCCAGACUCCUACGGGAGGCAGCAGUGGGGAAUAUUGGACAAUGGGGGGAACCCUGAUCCAGCCAUGCCGCGUGUGUGAAGAAGGCCUUAUGGUUGUAAAGCACUUUAAGUGAGGAGGAGGCUACUGAGACUAAUACUCUUGGAUAGUGGACGUUACUCGCAGAAUAAGCACCGGCUAACUCUGUGCCAGCAGCCGCGGUAAUACAGAGGGUGCGAGCGUUAAUCGGAUUUACUGGGCGUAAAGCGUGCGUAGGCGGCUUUUUAAGUCGGAUGUGAAAUCCCCGAGCUUAACUUGGGAAUUGCAUUCGAUUCUGGGAAGCUAGAGUACGGGAGAGGAUGGUAGAAUUCCAGGUGUAGCGGUGAAAUGCGUAGAGAUCUGGAGGAAUACCGAUGGCGAAGGCAGCCAUCUGGCCUA